AUACGAGGGUGCUAGCGUUGUCCGGAUUUACUGGGCGUAAAGGGUACGUAGGCGUUUUAAUAAGUUGUAUGUUAAAUAUCUUAGCUUAACUAAGAAGAUGCAUCCAAAACUGUUAAAAUAGAGUUUGAGAGAGGAACGCAGAAUUCAUAGUGUAGCGGUGGAAUGCGUAGAUAUUAUAAAGAAUACCGGUGGCGAAGGCGGCCUCCUGGAUCUGUACUGACACUGAGGUGCGAAAGCGUGGGUAGCGAACAGGAUUAGAUACCCUGGUAGUCCACGCCGUAAACGAUGACAACUAGCUGUUGGGAGACAACGUCUUUCAGUGGCGCAGCUAACGUUUUAAGUUGUCCGCCUUGGGGAGUACGGCCGCAAGGCUAAAACUCAAAUGAAUUGACGGGGACCCGCACAAGCGGUGGAGCAUGUGGUUUAAUUCGAUGCAACGCGAAAAACCUU
RNAcentral lists this ribosomal RNA (450 nucleotides) under uncultured bacterium. Its description in RNAcentral is "bacterial SSU rRNA". It matches the Rfam family "Bacterial small subunit ribosomal RNA", at positions 523 to 972 of the family's 1533-position model. The record is from RNAcentral.